GUGCUCAUUUUGGCAUCACAUAUUCUAAAAUUGGAACAACACAGAGCUUAGCAUGGUCCCUGCACAAGGUAACAUACAAAUUCAUGAAGUAUUCAAUAUUUUU
Molecule: small nuclear RNA, 103 nt
Organism: Zalophus californianus (California sea lion)
Lineage: Eukaryota; Metazoa; Chordata; Mammalia; Carnivora; Otariidae
Source: Ensembl